RNAcentral lists this ribosomal RNA (460 nucleotides) under uncultured bacterium. Its description in RNAcentral is "partial 16S ribosomal RNA". It matches the Rfam family "Bacterial small subunit ribosomal RNA", at positions 338 to 795 of the family's 1533-position model. The record is from RNAcentral.
CCUACGGGAGGCUACAGUGAGGAAUAUUGGUCAAUGGCCGAGAGGCUGAACCAGCCAAGUCGCGUGAGGGAAGACGGCCCUACGGGCUGUAAACCUCUUUUGUCGGGGAGCAAAGCGAACCACGUGUGUUUCAUUUAGAGUACCCGAAGAAAAAGCAUCGGCUAACACCGUGCCAGCAGCCGCGGUAAUACGGAGGAUGCGAGCGUUAUCCGGAUUUAUUGGGUUUAAAGGGAGCGUAGAUGGGUUGUUAAGUCAGUUGUGAAAGUUUGCGGCUCAACCGUAAAAUUGCAAUUGAUACUGGCAGUCUUGAGUACAGAUGAGGUAGGCGGAAUUCGUGGUGUAGCGGUGAAAUGCUUAGAUAUCACGAAGAACCCCGAUUGCGAAGGCAGCUUACUAAACUGUGACUGACAUUGAUGCUCGAAAGUGUGGGUAUCAAACAGGAUUAGAUACCCCUGUAGUC